Molecule: long non-coding RNA, 1129 nt
Filed under: Struthio camelus australis
Lineage: Eukaryota; Metazoa; Chordata; Aves; Struthioniformes; Struthionidae
Description: lncRNA (ENSSCUG00000002388.1)
Source: RNAcentral
UUUUUCCAUCAGGAUGAAGAAUCAAGUAACUUCUGCAGAGCACAGCUAUAGGUAUCCUGCAGCUUCCUUCCUUCAAAUGCAAAGGCAAAACUGCAGCAGCAGCCAAGAAGUGCUCCUUACAGUUAGGUUUUACUCAUUUACAGAGGCCUGAUUUGCUCAGGAAACAAACAAACAAGCAAACAAUGGAUUAUUUAGCUGCAAAUGGGAGCAAGUCUGCCUGCUGUUACAUUUGCAAACCCCAAAAGAUUUAUUAGGAGACACCAAAAAAAGGUGAGUGUUUUCUGCACAAAGCUUGGCAGAACAUACUGUAUGAAUAACUGAGUGACCUUUCAAAUAUUUACACAUACAUAGGAGCCUGCAUGGAGGCUGCUUUUGCUCCUUCACCCACUCUCAAGUUUUCCUCCCAAAAAUGAUGAAUUCAGUUGCAGCAGGUAGAGAAACGUGGAGUAUGUUUUUUUAACAAACUGGCCAUGGCCAAGAACAAUAGCCGAGAAAUAUAGGAAAACACGGACAAUUUGCACAGGAGAGUGAAGGCUCUUGAGCACUGUGAACGUCAGCUGAAGUCCGAUAUGAAGCCAGGCACACAGAGUGCUUUUAGGUGUUAGUCACACUGAUGAGGGGCUUGAGAGGAGGAAGGGAAAAUGUGGACCAUAAGGCUCCCGUUGGCCUGGUUGGAAAGAAACAUUUACUGUGAUAAACACGGGCAACUUAGUCAAAUGUACCUGCUCGUAUCUCCAGUUUGAAGUACUCUUGCAUGUAUUAGAAUAUGCCCCACCGAAAAUCAGCAGAAAGUCUGUCAAGGGAAACUCCCCUGGCUGGCAGGAAAGGACGUUACUAAGGAUGUCGGCAGGAGAGAAGGAAUGAGUCUCGAUCAGGAGCAGUCAACGCUGGCUGGGCCUCUGCUGCUGGGAUGCUGCUGUCCAAGCCAUAGAUGGCCUCUGCCUGAACUCACCCUGCAAAAAGCAGGAUGGGGAGGAUGGGUACAUGGUGGUUGCUGAUGCACUGCAAACCCCAGCUCUCUUUGGCAAUGUCAUCACUUCAAGUGAUUUCCCGAUUUUGAUCCCUCAGAUCACUUUCUUGGAUAAACAUGCUGAUUAAAAAUAAAUUACCUCUCAACUGAGUGACCUCA